This is a long non-coding RNA of Mesocricetus auratus (golden hamster), 347 nucleotides long. RefSeq lists it as uncharacterized. Lineage: Eukaryota; Metazoa; Chordata; Mammalia; Rodentia; Cricetidae. The record is from RefSeq and is a predicted model, not a curated record. The transcript has 2 exons.
CGUCCUCCUCGCUUUUCCCCACCGUGAGGGCGUCCCGGAUGUAUUCAAUGUCUUCUUUGCUUGUCAACUGGGGCAUUCCCGUCAUCAGCAUCAUGGAGAAGAGGAUGAUGAGCAGGUUUGUGUGAUGGCGGAGAGCUAGGCGCCAUCCUGUGACCAGAGGCCCCUUAGCAGCCUUGGAACACAACAGCUUCGAGAAUCCCGGAUCCUCUACAUGUUUAUGAAGACCUUGAAGUCAGCUCUUAGCCCACACCCAUGCUCCGGAAUGCGGCACUUUGGUUACAGCAGAUUUCUUUUUUCCUAAGGGCUGUGCUUAAAAGCUACAUUAAAAUAUCUUUAAUUAACUUCAA